Aegilops tauschii subsp. strangulata is the source of this 3138-nucleotide non-coding RNA. The record is from RefSeq and is a predicted model, not a curated record. NCBI's taxonomy places the organism in Eukaryota, Viridiplantae, Streptophyta, Magnoliopsida, Poales, Poaceae.
AACAUGGUAGUGGGAACCGAUGAUGCGGCGAGCCAGAGGUGGACGACGCAAGAAAAUUCCACAACCAUGAUGCAUGCUGGAACCGACCAUGGAGAGAUGGAAUCGCAACAGAAGAUGGAGCUCACCUGCAUCCAUGUUGCAAAUUCCCGUCAGCCGCGCGGCGAAAGGCCGCAGUGUUGUAACUGGAGGUUGAGGGAGGAGGGGGAAGAGAGAGUCGUGCGCGCGCGUUUCUACGUAUCUCAUCUAACGGUCAGGGUUAGACCGGCCCAAAGUUUGGGCUGGCUGGCCGGCGGAGAAUUCAGCCCGAAAUAAAAAGGGACAUAGAUGUCUUUCAUAAAUCUCUCCCUAAUAAUAAAGCGGUUAGGGCUGCUGGUCGAACGUCGUCGGUGGUUUUUCGAAAACGCCCCUCCGUUACUUUGAAAUAAACCCGCAAUCCUGUUUAAGUGGAUCUGAUAAAACCGUUUUCACAGAAAACACCCUGCCGCAUUUGCCCGUGUCCGCCGCCACCGACCGCACACCGUGCCUCCACGCGCGGGCGGCUCGCGCUCGUGCCUCCCUGCCGCCCCGCGCCGCCGCCCACCGGAGCUCCGCCGCCGGAACAACGCGCCGCCAUGCCCUCCUCUCCUUCUUCCUUCCCCUCCCUCCUGUUCUAUUUCUCACAUCCCCCUCUCUCUCUCCUUCGCAGGAAGCGGAAGCCAUGGCCCUGGACCUCCAUGCUGGACCGCCGACCCGCGCCGGCCGGCCAUCGGAGCGCCGCCGCUGGACCAACACGCCGCCCUGCCCUCCUCUCCUUCUUCCCUCCCUUCCCUCUGGUUAUAUUUCUCACAUCCCCCUCUCUCUCCCCUUCAAAGGAAGCGGAAGCCAUGGCCGUUGGACCUCCAACUGGACCGCCACCCCAUGCCGGCCGGCCACCGGAGCGCCGCCGUCGGACCAACGCGGGUUGCCGCGCUGGACCGCAGCCUGGACGAAACUCCGGCGAGGCCAUGAGCUCCCGAGUCCCAACCCGGGCUUAGGAGCGUACGGGAGCGCCGUCGUGGAUCAUGCGCGUCCUAGGUCCGCCGAGGCCACGGGCUCCCAAGCCGGGCAUAGGUUCUGUAGGAAGCACAAGAAAGUGGGUAUGAAAGCUAUGAGACGAUGGCCAAUACAGAUAUUGACAGGGCUGGAAGUCCGGAGCCAACGAAUAUACAUAGCGACUUAAAGUGUGACAAUAUAUUCAUAAAUAGUCCUGAUGGAACAGUGAAGAAUGGCGACUAUAUGGUCUGGCGACAUUAUUGCAUCAAUGGAAAAAGCAAAGUGUCAAAGGCGCAUUAGACUUUAUGGCACCAGAACGCUUCACUGGCAAUUACAAUGAGUUGGGUAUUCCAACCCCCUUGCUGAACCCUGUGCUAUUCGCAGCCUCUUCUGUCAAUCCAGCAGCACACCGCUGCCCUUCGCAUCCUCCCUGCAUCACUGCGACUGGGCCGUGCUCACAUUGUCCGCUGUCACAUGCGCAAUCUCUGCACUCGACGCUGCCUCCACCGAGAUUCAUUGCAAGGUCUGUUCGUAGCCACGGUUCUUGCUCCGUACCAUUGUUGAUGCUCCUGUUAAAGGAGCAUCAGUUUUACGCAUGCUUCCUGGGUCCUUGGUGAGAGGCCUCUGUGAUGUUAUUCUUUUAGGUAAGCUUUACUCAGGUUGCUACUCAUGUCACAGUGUCUGUAAUUUAGCCAGAGUCAGGUUCAGAGUUGUUGACUGAAUUUUUUGGGCACAACCAUCAAGCAACCUGAGUAAAGCUUACCUAAGCCAAUGAUUUUGUUCUAUUAGCUAGAGCCAGGUUCAGAUUUGUUCACUCUGGAUUUUUUGGGCACAACCAUCAAGCAAGCUAGGACGUAUUGUUUAACUGAAGCAAAGGGCAGGUAAGCUAUGAAUGCUUCAUUCUUCGUUCUGAACAAAUGCAGCUACUAUUUGUAUUUGAUCUGAGCAAAGGUGCAACCAAUUGAAGUUAUUUUGAAGAACCUGCACCUGAGUCUAUAUGUUCUGAUUUUAUAGCCUGCAGAGUCUGUAGAGUAAAGUUUGUACAUUUUGUGAAUCGCUUUGUUCCGGUUUCCCCUGGUGGUCUAUACUGUAUCAGGUUAUUUACUAUGUGCAGAUUUGUUUGUGCCAUUGCCGAUCAUGUACUUCUUUCUGUGCUUGGAAGCAUAGUCUCAUCGUAUCCCCUAGAUCUGUAUAAGUAUAUUUAGCUCACAUACACUUGGCAUUUGUUCUUCAAAAGGCGCCACUCCGUGUCCUCUCGCCCUGCACGAUCUUCCCUAAAGGCCACGAGAUCAACAUCAAAGAGCUGUGUGGACUUUAAGAUGUCCUCGAUGCUGGACUCCUGGUAACAGUUUAUUACAUGUUAUUUCUUUUUCUUUUUUGGUGAGUCUUUUCUUGAGAUUUAGGAUUAUGGAGUUAACGGGUGUUACUUUUGACCUGCUAAUACCUCUGCGUUAAACUUUUUGCUCUUCGAAAGCAACUAUGUAAGUCUGACGCUAACAUAAUGUUUACUGCUAUAAUACUUCAGUUUAACUUAGAGUCAGGAACACAAGUAGAAUUUCAUAGAAAUCUGUCUAGCUCCUGUAGAUGAAAGACUUCCUGCAAGUGAGCUCUUGAAUAACUCUUACCUCCAGGAAGAUGAGGUCUAUUCCAGCGCCUCCAAUUUUAGUCUCUCUGGUCUCAAGUGUGACUGAAGAUGGGUGGCAAUCUGCAAGUUUCGUGCUUUGGAAGGGUGAAUUCUUACUGAAAAACCAUAUGCAUCUUACGACCAUAUUAAUUUAGUGCUAAGGUUUCCUCAUACCAGUGGCUGUUUAAAGAAUGCUGAGUUGUCAAGCGAGGUGCUGCAGUGGCUGGCGUUGCCGGGCAUGGGACGACGUCCCUAGGCUCCUGCCUGAGGCAAGCCUCUCUGGCCUCCUCGGAUGCCCUCUAGGAACUGGCACUGCGUAUGAUGGCCUCCUCACCUAGCACCUAGGUUGACCUAGCCACCGCCAUCGAAGCGGAGAGUUGACAACAUAUGUAUGAUUGUUGGACGUGUCAGUCCUGCUCAGUCCUGCCAUUGGCAUGUUCAAAACUAUGAAUUGAGUGACUACAAAUAUGGUUUGAUCAAUGAAAUGAAAGGAUGUUCUGUUA